UGCAUACCUGUUCUUUUAAAAUCAAAUAUGC
RNAcentral lists this non-coding RNA (31 nucleotides) under Rattus norvegicus (Norway rat). The record is from RNAcentral. Lineage: Eukaryota; Metazoa; Chordata; Mammalia; Rodentia; Muridae.